Salvia miltiorrhiza (redroot sage) is the source of this 669-nucleotide long non-coding RNA. RefSeq lists it as uncharacterized. The transcript is spliced from 3 exons. The record is from RefSeq and is a predicted model, not a curated record. NCBI's taxonomy places the organism in Eukaryota, Viridiplantae, Streptophyta, Magnoliopsida, Lamiales, Lamiaceae.
AGUAAAUUAGUUUCCCUAAAAAUAAAUUAAGGUUACACAUCUCUCAUAAACUACCAUUCGAGCGCUGAAACUUUGAUUCUUAUAACCGCUGUUGCGGUCCAGUGCUCAUCCUCUUCCUCCACGGUCGGCGGUCACUACUUCUGACGGAGCAACUACCGGUCACUGUUGCUCACGGCGCGGUUGAUUUCCCCUGCCAUAAUCGCUAACUACCUUGCCCCAUUCUCUUAGCGCCACGAUUGAAGCUCGCCCCGGCCAGGCCAUUGCCCGAAAAUCGUUGCAAAGCUUUGUGCCACUGCCACCGUGCGACCGUGCCCUCGCCGACAUCACCGUGCUUAUGCCUCCGUCAUCGCCGUCGCUACUGCUGUCGUCCCCUUCGUCCUUAUGAGGAUAUGUGGUGAAGGCAAAGAAGACAAUAUUGGACAUAUUGGUUGAUGCAUCACAUUUUGAAGGAACGAAGGAACAACAAGUGUUAACUCAUUUGAAUGUUAGGCUGAACUUAUUUGUUAGUGGAUCCACAAAUGUUUACUCAUUUUAGUUAUAGUUAUUGUUAGAAUUUAGCUUAAUUAUUUUGUAAUGGAAUAUGGUAGAAUUGAUUUUGUCGAAUCUUUAAGUUGUAAUGAAUAUUGAAAUUUUAUAAUGACUAUGUUAUAAAUGAAAAUGAUUUUCUCA